This 147-nucleotide transfer RNA is filed under the name Friedmanniomyces endolithicus. It matches the Rfam family "tRNA". Rfam says of the family: Transfer RNA (tRNA) molecules are approximately 80 nucleotides in length. Their secondary structure includes four short double-helical elements and three loops (D, anti-codon, and T loops). Lineage: Eukaryota; Fungi; Ascomycota; Dothideomycetes; Mycosphaerellales; Teratosphaeriaceae. The record is from Rfam by way of RNAcentral.
GGUUUCGUGGUGUAGUGGUUAUCACGUUUCGUUUACAGCAUGUCUGACAUCCUGCACCGAAAAGGUCCCGGGUAUGUGUGCUAUGAGUGCCCAAAGUGAAUGUAGGAGCUAAACGUUAUGAUAUAGGUUCGACCCCCGGCGAAACCU